This 507-nucleotide ribosomal RNA is filed under the name uncultured bacterium. Its description in RNAcentral is "bacterial SSU rRNA". It matches the Rfam family "Bacterial small subunit ribosomal RNA", at positions 28 to 527 of the family's 1533-position model. The record is from RNAcentral.
GACGAACGCUGGCGGCGUGCCUGACACAUGCAAGUCGGACGGUUCUUGUAUCUUCAAGCUUGCUUGCAGGUGCAAGGAUAGUGGCGGACGGGUGAGUAACGCGUGAACAUCUACCCAUUGGAGGGGGACAACCCGUCGAAAGGCGGGCUAAUACCGCGUAAGCCGCGAGGUGAGAGGCUGCCUAUUGGUGGCCGCCGAUGGAUGGGUUCGCGUCCUAUCAGCUGGUUGGUGGGGUAACGGCCUACCAAGGCUAUGAUGUUUAGGGGUCCUGAGAGGGUGGUCCCCCACACUGGUACUGAGACACGGACCAGACUCCUACGGGAGGCAGCAGUGAGGAAUAUUGGUCAAUGGGCGCAAGCCUGAACCAGCCAUCCCGCGUGCAGGAAGACGGCCCUAUGGGUUGUAAACUGCUUUUCCAGGGAGAGAAACUUACGCACGUGUUGCGUGACUGACGGUACCCUGGGAAUAAGCAUCGGCUAACUCCGUGCCAGCAGCCGCGGUAAAACG